RNAcentral lists this ribosomal RNA (785 nucleotides) under uncultured archaeon. Its description in RNAcentral is "bacterial SSU rRNA". It matches the Rfam family "Archaeal small subunit ribosomal RNA", at positions 87 to 877 of the family's 1478-position model. The record is from RNAcentral.
GGCUCAGUAACACGUGGAUAAUCUACCCUGCGGAGGGGGAUAACCCCGGGAAACUGGGGAUAAUACCCCAUAGACUAUGGAUGCUGGAAUGCUCUGUAGCCGAAAGGUCCGCCGCCGCAGGAUGAGUCUGCGGCCGAUUAGGUUGUUGUUGGGGUAACGGCCCAACAAGCCUGUAAUCGGUACGGGUUGUGGGAGCAAGAGCCCGGAGAUGGAUUCUGAGACACGAAUCCAGGCCCUACGGGGCGCAGCAGGCGCGAAAACUUUGCAAUGCGGGAAACCGUGACAAGGGAACUCCGAGUGCCCGUAAAUUCGGGCUGUCCGCCAGUUUAAAUCACUGGUGAAGAAAGGGCCGGGCAAGACCGGUGCCAGCCGCCGCGGUAAUACCGGCGGCUCGAGUGGUGGCCACUAUUACUGGGCUUAAAGCGUUCGUAGCUGGUCUGUUAAGUCUCUGGGGAAAUCUUCCGGCUUAACCGGAAGGCGUCUCAGGGAUACUGGCAGACUAGGGACCGGGAGAGGUGAGGGGUACUCCAGGGGUAGGAGUGAAAUCCUGUAAUCCUUGGGGGACCACCUGUGGCGAAGGCGCCUCACCAGAACGGCUCCGACAGUGAGGAACGAAAGCUGGGGGAGCAAACCGGAUUAGAUACCCGGGUAGUCCCAGCUGUAAACGAUGCGCGUUAGGUGUAUCGGUGACCACGAGUCACCGAGGUGCCGAAGAGAAAUCGUGAAACGUGCCGCCUGGGAAGUACGGUCGCAAGGCUGAAACUCAAAGGAAUUGACGGAAGGGC